Molecule: ribosomal RNA, 873 nt
Filed under: uncultured bacterium
Lineage: Bacteria
Description: bacterial SSU rRNA
Rfam family: Bacterial small subunit ribosomal RNA
Source: RNAcentral
GGAUCCAGACUUUGUCAUGGCUCAGGAUAAACGCUGGCGGCGCACAUAAGACAUGCAAGUCGAACGGAGGUCGGUGUAAUGAAAUAGAAACGGACAGAGAACUUGUUCGAAGAAAGUGGAAGUAGACUUACAACAAUGGCUUUAGUGGCGGACUGGUGAGUAACGCGUAAGGAACCUGCCUUCUAGAGGGGAAUAACAAUGAGAAAUCAUUGCUAAUACCGCAUAUGCCGAGAGAAUCACAUGGUACAAUCGGGAAAAGAGUAAUCUGCUAGAAGAUGGCCUUGCGUCUGAUUAGAUAGUUGGUGGGGUAACGGCCUACCAAGUCGACGAUCAGUAGCCGGACUGAGAGGUUGAACGGCCACAUUGGGACUGAGAUACGGCCCAGACUCCUACGGGAGGCAGCAGUCGGGAAUAUUGCGCAAUGGAGGAAACUCUGACGCAGUGACGCCGCGUAUAGGAAGAAGGUUUUCGGAUUGUAAACUAUUGUCGUUAGGGAAGAGAAAGGACAGUACCUAAGGAGGAAGCUCCGGCUAACUACGUGCCAGCAGCCGCGGUAAUACGUAGGGAGCGAGCGUUAUCCGGAAUUAUUGGGUGUAAAGGGUGCGUAGACGGGAAGAUAAGUUAGUUGUGAAAUCCCUCGGCUUAACUGAGGAACUGCAACUAAAACUGUUUUUCUUGAGUGCAGGAGAGGUAAGUGGAAUUCCUAGUGUAGCGGUGAAAUGCGUAGAUAUUAGGAGGAACACCAGUGGCGAAGGCGACUUACUGGACUGUAACUGACGUUGAGGCACGAAAGUGUGGGGGAGCAAACAGGAUUAGAUACCCUGGUAGUCCACACCGUAAACGAUGGAUACUAGGUGUAGGAGAUAUUAAGUC